GCCUGGCUGGCUCAGUCAGCAGAGCAUGUGACUCCUGAUCUCAGAGUUGUGAGUUCGAGACCCACAUUGGGUA
Molecule: transfer RNA, 73 nt
Filed under: Canis lupus familiaris (dog)
Lineage: Eukaryota; Metazoa; Chordata; Mammalia; Carnivora; Canidae
Also listed under: 1 other name
Rfam family: tRNA
About the family: Transfer RNA (tRNA) molecules are approximately 80 nucleotides in length. Their secondary structure includes four short double-helical elements and three loops (D, anti-codon, and T loops). Further hydrogen bonds mediate the characteristic L-shaped molecular structure. tRNAs have two regions of fundamental functional importance: the anti-codon, which is responsible for specific mRNA codon recognition, and the 3' end, to which the tRNAs corresponding amino acid is attached (by aminoacyl-tRNA synthetases). tRNAs cope with the degeneracy of the genetic code in two manners: having more than one tRNA (with a specific anti-codon) for a particular amino acid; and 'wobble' base-pairing, i.e. permitting non-standard base-pairing at the 3rd anti-codon position.
Source: Rfam by way of RNAcentral